RNAcentral lists this ribosomal RNA (694 nucleotides) under uncultured bacterium. RNAcentral's name for it is "bacterial SSU rRNA". It matches the Rfam family "Bacterial small subunit ribosomal RNA", at positions 133 to 842 of the family's 1533-position model. The record is from RNAcentral.
UCAGAGGGGAACAACAGUUAGAAAUGACUGCUAAUACCGCAUAUGCCUUGAGUAUCACAUGGUACAAAAGGGAAAGGAGCAAUCCGCUGAUAGAUGGGCUUGCGUCUGAUUAGAUAGUUGGUGAGGUAACGGCCCACCAAGUCGACGAUCAGUAGCCGGACUGAGAGGUUGAACGGCCACAUUGGGACUGAGAUACGGCCCAGACUCCUACGGGAGGCAGCAGUCGGGAAUAUUGCGCAAUGGAGGAAACUCUGACGCAGUGACGCCGCGUGCAGGAAGAAGGUUUUCGGAUUGUAAACUGCUUUAGACAGGGAAGAAACAAGACAGUACCUGUAGAAUAAGCUCCGGCUAACUACGUGCCAGCAGCCGCGGUAAUACGUAGGGAGCAAGCGUUAUCCGGAUUUAUUGGGUGUAAAGGGUGCGUAGACGGGAAAUUAAGUUAGUUGUGAAAUCCCUCGGCUUAACUGAGGAACUGCAACUAAAACUGAUUUUCUUGAGUGCUGGAGAGGAAAGUGGAAUUCCUAGUGUAGCGGUGAAAUGCGUAGAUAUUAGGAGGAACACCAGUGGCGAAGGCGACUUUCUGGACAGUAACUGACGUUGAGGCACGAAAGUGUGGGGAGCAAACAGGAUUAGAUACCCUGGUAGUCCACACCGUAAACGAUGGAUACUAGGUGUAGGGUGUGAUAAACAUUCU